Molecule: long non-coding RNA, 1119 nt
Filed under: Cyanistes caeruleus (blue tit)
Lineage: Eukaryota; Metazoa; Chordata; Aves; Passeriformes; Paridae
Description: lncRNA (ENSCCEG00000001145.1)
Source: RNAcentral
CCCCGAAUUUGGGAUCAGGAGCCCCAAAUUUAGGAUCAGGAGCCCAAAAUUCAGGACCAAGAGCCCAAAAUUUGGGAUUGGGACCCGAAAAUUCGGGAUCGAGAACCCAAAAUUUGGGAUCAGGAACCCAAAUUCAGGAUUGGGACCCCAAAAUUCGGGAUCAGGACCCCAAAAUUCGGGAUCGGGACCCCCGAAUUGGGGAUCAGGAGCCCCAAAUUUGGGGGAUUUGGGCUGAAAUUUGGGGUCAUUUUGGGCCGAUUUUGGCCAUUUUUGGGGUCAUUUUGGCCACCCAGGUGUCCCCAGGUGUCCCCAGGUGUCCCCAGGUGUCCCCAGGUGUGUCCCAGGUGUAUCCAGGUGUGUCCCAGGUGUGUCCCAGGUGUCCCCAGGUGUCCCCAGGUGUAUCUCAGGUGUCCCCAGGUGUGUUUUGGCUGUCCAAGGUGUCCCCAGGUGUGUCCCAGGUAUGUUUUUGGUGUCCCCAGGUGUGCCCAGGUGUCCCCAGGUGUCCCCAGGUGUCCCCAGGUGUCCCCAGGUGUGUCCCCAAUGUCCCCAGGUGUCCCCAGGUGUGUCCCCAGGUGCCCCCAGGUGUCCCCAGGUGCCCCCAGGUGUCCCCAGGUGACCCCAGGUGACCCCAGGUGAUGUCACCUGACCCCAGGUGACCCCAGGUGACCCCAGGUGACCCCAGGUGUCCCCGCAGUGCCGCUGCCGCCCCCCAAGACGCUGCAGCAGGUGGAGCUGCCACUGCUGAGUCAGCGCCACUGCCAGUGCCUGUACGGGAAACACCUGGGGACACACCUGGGGACAUCGGGGACACACCUGGGGACAUCGGGGACACACCUGGGGACAUCGGGGACACACCUGGACACGCCCCUCGAGGACAUGGGGUUACCUGCCGAGGACACCGUGUGUGCCGGGUACCCCGAGGGACAGCGCGACGCCUGCCAGGUGAGGACACCUGUGACACCGGAGUGACACCUCCUGUGUCACCUGAGUGUCACCUCCUGUGUCACCUGAGUGACACCUGAGUGUCACCUCCUGUGUCACCUGUGACACCUGUGACACCUGAGUGACACCUGAGUGUCACCUCCUGUGUCACCUGUGACACCUGUGUCACCUGAGUGU